GACGAACGCUGGCGGCGUGCUUAACACAUGCAAGUCGAGCGGUAAGGCCCUUUCGGGGGUACACGAGCGGCGAACGGGUGAGUAACACGUGGGUGACCUGCCCUCAGCUCUGGGAUAAGCCUGGGAAACCGGGUCUAAUACCGGAUAUGACUCCAUGACGCAUGUUGUGGGGUGGAAAGCCUUGUGCGGCUGAGGAUGGGCCCGCGGCCUAUCAGCUUGUUGGUGGGGUGAUGGCCUACCAAGGCGACGACGGGUAGCCGGCCUGAGAGGGCGACCGGCCACACUGGGACUGAGACACGGCCCAGGCUCCUACGGGAGGCAGCAGUGGGGAAUCUUGCGCAAUGGGCGAAAGCCUGACGCAGCGACGCCGCGUGAGGGAUGACGGCCU
This 388-nucleotide ribosomal RNA is filed under the name uncultured bacterium. RNAcentral describes it as "bacterial SSU rRNA". It matches the Rfam family "Bacterial small subunit ribosomal RNA", at positions 28 to 417 of the family's 1533-position model. The record is from RNAcentral.